Molecule: long non-coding RNA, 328 nt
Organism: Mauremys reevesii (Reeves's turtle)
Lineage: Eukaryota; Metazoa; Chordata; Testudines; Geoemydidae
Exons: 3
Source: RefSeq, a predicted model, not a curated record
CUGGAAAUGAGAUGAGGAGGAGAAAGACCUGGGUAUAUAAUUGAUUAUAGGAUGACUGAGAACGUGUCCGUUAAAAGCAAAUGCAAUCCUUGGAUGUAUCAGCUCACUUGCAGAGAGGUAGAAGGAACUCUCCUCAACCAAUGGGCUCAGAACAUUCCUCUCUUAAAGAACAGUGAUGCUUGAGAGAAGACCCGCAAAGCACAGUAAUUGGACCAAAGCCAUUUAUCAACUUCGUAGAUCCAGACCUUGCAGUUUCCUUGCUUUUCCAGUGCCUGGCCAAGGACUUCAGUAAGAAUGAACUGGCUGAGACUCCAUCCACCCAAGAGAG